Long non-coding RNA from Carassius carassius (crucian carp), 442 nucleotides. RefSeq lists it as uncharacterized. The transcript has 3 exons. The record is from RefSeq and is a predicted model, not a curated record. Lineage: Eukaryota; Metazoa; Chordata; Actinopteri; Cypriniformes; Cyprinidae.
AAAAGAUUUUAAUGCUCUGUGAGCAUAAGGGCGUAAAAGGAAACCGAAAAAUAACUGAAUGGCUUCAAAAAAACAGGCUAAUGUCUUCAACAAAGAAAUGCAGAAUAUGUAAAAAAAAAAUGAAAUUAAGGAAGACGCAAAACAAAGAUGGAAUCCAAUGGAUAUGUCAACGAAGAGCACACAAUGAAAAAGUGACAAAAUCAUGCAGGUCAGGAUCAAUAUUCGACAAGACCAAUACAAGUUUACAAAAUUGGAUGACUUUUAUAUACAGAUUCAGUCAAGGUUUACGUUUACGCCAAGUCGACAUGGUCCAGGAUGGCAUUGCUGGAAGCUCUGCCACCCUUACUAAAAUGACCCGUAAACUGAGAUUAGUCUGAAGGAAAGCCUUGAAGAUGUUCAAAAGGAAGACAGGACAACGCAUGGGUGGAAGAAGGGAAUUUAU